RNAcentral lists this ribosomal RNA (253 nucleotides) under uncultured bacterium. RNAcentral's name for it is "partial 16S ribosomal RNA". It matches the Rfam family "Bacterial small subunit ribosomal RNA", at positions 524 to 776 of the family's 1533-position model. The record is from RNAcentral.
UACGUAGGGUGCGAGCGUUGCCCGGAAUUACUGGGCGUAAAGCGUGCGCAGGCGGUUCUCCAAGUCCGUUGUGAAAGCCCCGGGCUCAACCUGGGAAUGGCAGUGGAAACUAGGGGACUGGAAUCUGGCAGAGGGGGGUGGAAUGCCGCGUGUAGCAGUGAAAUGCGUAGAGAUGCGGCGGAACACCGAUGGCGAAGGCAGCCCCCUGGGCUGAGAUUGACGCUCAGGCACGAAAGCGUGGGGAGCAAACAGG